GGGGGUGUGGCACUGUGGUAAAACAUCUGCUUUGAAUGCAGAAGAUCCCAAGUUCAAUCCUGGGCAUCUCCA
Molecule: transfer RNA, 72 nt
Filed under: Sphaerodactylus townsendi
Lineage: Eukaryota; Metazoa; Chordata; Lepidosauria; Squamata; Sphaerodactylidae
Description: tRNA-Ser
Rfam family: tRNA
About the family: Transfer RNA (tRNA) molecules are approximately 80 nucleotides in length. Their secondary structure includes four short double-helical elements and three loops (D, anti-codon, and T loops). Further hydrogen bonds mediate the characteristic L-shaped molecular structure. tRNAs have two regions of fundamental functional importance: the anti-codon, which is responsible for specific mRNA codon recognition, and the 3' end, to which the tRNAs corresponding amino acid is attached (by aminoacyl-tRNA synthetases). tRNAs cope with the degeneracy of the genetic code in two manners: having more than one tRNA (with a specific anti-codon) for a particular amino acid; and 'wobble' base-pairing, i.e. permitting non-standard base-pairing at the 3rd anti-codon position.
Source: RNAcentral